AAGACCUUGCACUUUUGGAGCGGCCGAUGUCUGAUUAGCUAGUUGGUGGGGUAAUGGCCUACCAAAGCUUCGAUCAGUAGCUGGUCUGAGAGGACGGCCAGCCACACUGGGACUGAGACACGGCCCAGACUCCUACGGGAGGCAGCAGUGGGGAAUUUUGGACAAUGGGCGCAAGCCUGAUCCAGCCAUGCCGCGUGAGUGAAGAAGGCCUUCGGGUUGUAAAGCUCUUUCAGCCGGGAAGAAAAGGUUGCGACUAAUAAUCGCAAUUCAUGACGGUACCGAAAGAAGAAGCACCGGCUAACUACGUGCCAGCAGCCGCGGUAAUACAUAGGAUGCGAGCGUUAAUCGGAAUUACUGGGCGUAAAGGGUGCGCAGGCGGUUUUGUAAGUCAGAUGUGAAAUCCCCGGGCUUAACCUGGGAACU
Molecule: ribosomal RNA, 423 nt
Filed under: uncultured bacterium
Lineage: Bacteria
Description: bacterial SSU rRNA
Rfam family: Bacterial small subunit ribosomal RNA
Source: RNAcentral